GACCAUGAAUUGAGCUCCUCAUUUUACUGAAUUUGAGACACAGAUGGGACUUGUGGAGGGGAGACAGUUCUCUCAGAGAGCCAUACUUUUCCUAAAAUGUCUGCUCUUUCAACGAAGACCUCAUGUAUCAGUCAGUGGUACCCUGCAGCCAAGCUAACAGUCAAGGGUAAUAAUGGAAACAAGAGGAUGGUUGGAGCUGAGAUUGAUGGAGCUGAGAAACUUACUUUGAACAAUCCUGAAGAGAUGGAGGCAGGUGAUUCUCAGCAUGGUAGAGAAAGAAAUAGCAGCCCAGAGCAGAAGCAGGAAGGCACUCAGGUAAGAAGAAACUUUGUUUUGUCUCUGGGUAAAGAAAUUGGGAAGAGUCGUGACAGAAGAGGAAUUGGUUUUUUUCUUCAUUGAGUAAGGUUUGUCCUGUUUAGUAUUAUUAAAAACCACGGUGUAUUAUUUUUCCAACUGUACAUAUAAUAAUAGGUGAAAAAUUCCCAACAUAGUUUUGUGACCCUUAUCAUUUUACAUGAGUCCAGAUCUUUCUUAUCUUUAUAGAUUCAGGUUACUUCUUAUAUUUUAUUCCAUUCUUUCUCCAAUUUUUAAAAAUUUCACUUAACAUUAAGAUAUUUCUCAGAAAAUAAAAUAAAA
RNAcentral lists this long non-coding RNA (636 nucleotides) under Vulpes vulpes (red fox). RNAcentral describes it as "lncRNA (ENSVVUG00000001232.1)". The record is from RNAcentral. Lineage: Eukaryota; Metazoa; Chordata; Mammalia; Carnivora; Canidae.